Molecule: long non-coding RNA, 768 nt
Filed under: Homo sapiens (human)
Lineage: Eukaryota; Metazoa; Chordata; Mammalia; Primates; Hominidae
Description: HSALNT0209372
Source: RNAcentral
AUUUGGGUGGCCUCGAGUCGCAGUGUCCUGGGCCUCCGGAAGCAUUGCCCCUAGCCCAAGCAGUGGAACUCAAAUCUGUCCCUGGAAAAAAUGAGAAUGGUGACAUAAAAUGUGAGCAAUGGCUGGACGUGGUGGCUCAUGCCUGCAAUCCUAGCACUUUGGGAGGCUGAAGCAGUGGAUCGCUUGAGCUCAAGAGUUCGAAACCAGCCUGGGCAACAUGGUAAAACUCCAUCUCUACAAUAAAUACGAAAAUUGGGGCAACAGAGUGAGACUCUGUCUCAAGUAAAUACAUACAUACAUACAUACAUACAUACAUACAUACAUACAUACGUACAUACAUACAGUGUAGGCAACACGAUCAGGAGUCAAAGAAAAGUGGACAAUUUCAGUCAUUGGGAAAACAUUUGUUGAAUACUUAGUAUGUACCAAACACAGCACUGACUUCCAAGUGUGUGGUUUCCCUCCAGGGACACAUAAAACUCAAAUCCAGUCAGAUGUGCCAGGAUUGGUUUCUAUGUUUAAGUGUUCAGAGGGACUUUUUCAACCAAAGCAACUGGAAGACUUUUUGCAGCGUGUACCACUUACAUAGCUAAAGCACAUCCUAUAGUAGAUUUUUAACCUUAAACAGACAUUGUUUAACAGGUUUAAAGAAGAAGCAGGAAAACAGGAAAAUCCCAGCGGGGUGUGUGUGUGUGUGUGUGUGUGGUUUGGGAAAGGGGUGGUGGAAGGUGAUUAAAUGCUAACUUUCAUACUUUUUGGAAAUAAGUG